RNAcentral lists this ribosomal RNA (415 nucleotides) under uncultured archaeon. Its description in RNAcentral is "partial 16S ribosomal RNA". It matches the Rfam family "Archaeal small subunit ribosomal RNA", at positions 330 to 747 of the family's 1478-position model. The record is from RNAcentral.
GCGCAGCAGGCGCGAAAACUCCGCAAUGCGCGAAAGCGUGACGGGGUCACCCCGAGUGCCGUCCGCUGAGGAUGGCUUUUGCCUGGUGUAACCAGCCGGGUGAAUAAGGGGAGGGCAAGUCUGGUGUCAGCCGCCGCGGUAAUACCAGCUCCUCGAGUGGUUGGGACGAUUAUUGGGUCUAAAGCGUCCGUAGCCGGCCGGAAAAGUUCUCCGUUAAAUCCAACGAUCCAAUCGUUGGGCUGCGGAGAAUACACUCCGGCUUGGGGGCGGGGGAGGUCGGCGGUAGUCCCGGGGUAGGGGCGAAAUCCUAUAAUCCCGGGAGGACCACCAGUGGCGAAGGCGGCCGACUAAAACGCGCUCGACGGUGAGGGGCGAAAGCUGGGGGAGCGAACCGGAUUAGAUACCCCUGGAGUCC